AGUGAACGCUGGCGGCAGGCCUAACACAUGCAAGUCGAGCGGAUGAAGGGAGCUUGCUCCUGGAUUCAGCGGCGGACGGGUGAGUAAUGCCUAGGAAUCUGCCUGGUAGUUGUGGAUAACGUCCGAAAACGGGCGCUAAUACCGCAUACGUCCUGAGGGAGAAAGUGUGGGAUCUUCGGACCUCACGCUAUCAGAUGAGCCUAGGUCGGAUUAGCUAGUUGGUGGGGUAAAGGCCUACCAAGGCGACGAUCCGUAACUGGUCUGAGAGGAUGAUCAGUCACACUGGAACUGAGACACGGUCCAGACUCCUACGGGAGGCAGCAGUGGGGAAUAUUGGACAAUGGGCGAAAGCCUGAUCCAGCCAUGCCGCGUGUGUGAAGAAGGUCUUCGGAUUGUAAAGCACUUUAAGUUGGGAGGAAGGGCAGUAAGUUAAUACCUCGCUGUUUUGACGUUACCAACAGAAUAAGCACCGGCUAACUUCGUG
Molecule: ribosomal RNA, 484 nt
Filed under: uncultured bacterium
Lineage: Bacteria
Description: partial 16S ribosomal RNA
Rfam family: Bacterial small subunit ribosomal RNA
Source: RNAcentral